CCCUCAAGCAUAGGAAGUAGUCGGAGAAUCAUCGGACUCGGAAUCUGAAUCACAGUAUCUGGCAAAGAAGUCUCGUCGUCCUCUGGCUCUCUUGGAAUCCCUCAUAAGCAGCUCGUCUUUCUCUUCCAAUUCCUUCCGGACCUUAGCUAGUUCCUUCUUCAACAUUAGGUUCUCAUGAGUCUUCUGCUCAUCUCUACCAUCCAAAGUCAUGAUUAGAUUCUCAGCUUGAUUGUACC
Molecule: long non-coding RNA, 236 nt
Filed under: Medicago truncatula (barrel medic)
Lineage: Eukaryota; Viridiplantae; Streptophyta; Magnoliopsida; Fabales; Fabaceae
Description: long non-coding RNA (MTRU_LNC003266)
Source: RNAcentral